RNAcentral lists this ribosomal RNA (859 nucleotides) under Bacillus sp. RM21. RNAcentral's name for it is "bacterial SSU rRNA". It matches the Rfam family "Bacterial small subunit ribosomal RNA", at positions 366 to 1216 of the family's 1533-position model. The record is from RNAcentral. Lineage: Bacteria; Bacillati; Bacillota; Bacilli; Caryophanales; Bacillaceae.
UCGCAAUGGACGAAAGUCUAGACGGAGCAACGCCGCGUGAGUGACGAAGGCCUUCGGGUCGUAAAGCUCUGUUGUUAGGGAAGAACAAGUACCGUUCGAAUAGGGCGGUACCUUGACGGUACCUAACCAGAAAGCCACGGCUAACUACGUGCCAGCAGCCGCGGUAAUACAUAGGUGGCAAGCGUUGUCCGGAAUUAUUGGGCGUAAAGCGCGCGCAGGCGGUCUUUUAAGUCUGAUGUGAAAGCCCACGGCUCAACCGUGGAGGGUCAUUGGAAACUGGAGGACUUGAGUGCAGAAGAGGAGAGUGGAAUUCCACGUGUAGCGGUGAAAUGCGUAGAUAUGUGGAGGAACACCAGUGGCGAAGGCGGCUCUCUGGUCUGUAACUGACGCUGAGGCGCGAAAGCGUGGGGAGCAAACAGGAUUAGAUACCCUGGUAGUCCACGCCGUAAACGAUGAGUGCUAGGUGUUGGGGGGUUCCACCCUCAGUGCUGAAGUUAACACAUUAAGCACUCCGCCUGGGGAGUACGACCGCAAGGUUGAAACUCAAAGGAAUUGACGGGGGCCCGCACAAGCAGUGGAGCAUGUGGUUUAAUUCGAAGCAACGCGAAGAACCUUACCAGGUCUUGACAUCCUCUGACAAUCCUGGAGACAGGACGUUCCCCUUCGGGGGACAGAGUGACAGGUGGUGCAUGGUUGUCGUCAGCUCGUGUCGUGAGAUGUUGGGUUAAGUCCCGCAACGAGCGCAACCCUUGAUCUUAGUUGCCAGCAUUUAGUUGGGCACUCUAAGGUGACUGCCGGUGACAAACCGGAGGAAGGUGGGGAUGACGUCAAAUCAUCAUGCCCCUUAUGACCUGGGCUA